Molecule: small nucleolar RNA, 71 nt
Organism: Tachysurus fulvidraco (yellow catfish)
Lineage: Eukaryota; Metazoa; Chordata; Actinopteri; Siluriformes; Bagridae
Product: small nucleolar RNA SNORD61
Exons: 1
Source: RefSeq, a predicted model, not a curated record
GCUAUGAUGACUUGUUUCAUUUGAUCCAUUGGAGUUGAUUUUUCACUUGUUCUCUAAGAAGUACUGAGCCU